GUGGGGAAUCUUCCGCAAUGGGCGAAAGCCUGACGGAGCAACGCCGCGUGAGUGAUGACGGCCUUCGGGUUGUAAAGCUCUGUGAUCGGGGACGAACGGUCAGCAGACGAAUACUCUGCUGAAGUGACGGUACCCGAAUAGCAAGCCACGGCUAACUACGUGCCAGCAGCCGCGGUAAUACGUAGGUGGCAAGCGUUGUCCGGAAUUAUUGGGCGUAAAGCGCGCGCAGGCGGCUUCUUAAGUCCAUCUUAAAAGUGCGGGGCUUAACCCCGUGAUGGGAUGGAAACUGAGAGGCUGGAGUAUCGGAGAGGAAAGUGGAAUUCCUAGUGUAGCGGUGAAAUGCGUAGAGAUUAGGAAGAACACCGGUGGCGAAGGCGACUUUCUGGACGACAACUGACGCUGAGGCGCGAAAGCGUGGGGAGCAAACAGGA
This 431-nucleotide ribosomal RNA is filed under the name uncultured bacterium. RNAcentral's name for it is "bacterial SSU rRNA". It matches the Rfam family "Bacterial small subunit ribosomal RNA", at positions 354 to 777 of the family's 1533-position model. The record is from RNAcentral.